This 74-nucleotide transfer RNA is filed under the name Candidatus Moraniibacteriota bacterium. RNAcentral describes it as "tRNA-Met". It matches the Rfam family "tRNA". Rfam says of the family: Transfer RNA (tRNA) molecules are approximately 80 nucleotides in length. Their secondary structure includes four short double-helical elements and three loops (D, anti-codon, and T loops). Lineage: Bacteria; Candidatus Moraniibacteriota. The record is from RNAcentral.
GGCAGGGUAGCUCAGCCGGUUAGAGCACAGCACUCAUAACGCUGAGGUCAUGGGUUCGAUUCCCAUCCCUGCUA